GAGAGAGGCCAGUUCGCAGCGAAGACUGCUAAUCUUCGUUACUUUGGUUAGACUCCGAAGCUCCCUCG
This 68-nucleotide transfer RNA is filed under the name Choerodon schoenleinii (blackspot tuskfish). RNAcentral's name for it is "tRNA-Ser". Lineage: Eukaryota; Metazoa; Chordata; Actinopteri; Labriformes; Labridae. The record is from RNAcentral.